AGUUUCGAGCGGCUUUCAACAACGAUAUCAACCGAUUUUCAGUAAAUUGCGAGUUGAUAUGUUGUUUGAAUGCCCCUUGAGUUG
Molecule: microRNA precursor, 84 nt
Filed under: Caenorhabditis brenneri
Lineage: Eukaryota; Metazoa; Nematoda; Chromadorea; Rhabditida; Rhabditidae
Description: mir-90 microRNA precursor family
Rfam family: mir-90 microRNA precursor family
Source: Rfam by way of RNAcentral